Molecule: ribosomal RNA, 245 nt
Filed under: uncultured bacterium
Lineage: Bacteria
Description: partial small subunit ribosomal RNA
Rfam family: Bacterial small subunit ribosomal RNA
Source: RNAcentral
AGAAUCAACGCUGGCGGCGUGCCUAACACAUGCAAGUCGCACGAGAAAGGGGAGCAAUCCCUGAGUACAGUGGCGCACGGGUGAGUAACACGUGAAUUAUCUACCUCCGAGUGGGGAAUAACUGAGAGAAAUCUUAGCUAAUACCGCAUAACACUUACGAGUCAAAGCAGCAAUGCGCUUGGAGGGGAGUUCGCGGCCGAUUAGUUAGUUGGCGGGGUAAUGGCCCACCAAGACGAUGAUCGGUA